This 253-nucleotide ribosomal RNA is filed under the name uncultured bacterium. RNAcentral's name for it is "partial 16S ribosomal RNA". It matches the Rfam family "Bacterial small subunit ribosomal RNA", at positions 524 to 776 of the family's 1533-position model. The record is from RNAcentral.
UACGGAGGUGGCCAGCGUUGUUCGGAAUUACUGGGCGUAAAGGGCGCGUAGGCGGCAAGGCAAGUCAGGUGUGAAAGCCCCGAGCUUAACUCGGGAAUUGCAUCUGAAACUGCUGUGCUUGAGUUCUGGAGGGGGUAGUGGAAUUCCCAGUGUAGCGGUGAAAUGCGUAGAUAUUGGGAGGAACACCAGUGGCGAAGGCGGCUCUCUGGACAGGUACUGACGCUGAGACGCGAAAGCGUGGGUAGCAAACAGG